CCUUCGGGUUGUAAAGCUCUUUCGGCCGGAACGAAAUCGCACGGGAUAACACCGCGUGUGGAUGACGGUACCGGAGUAAGAAGCACCGGCUAACUACGUGC
This 101-nucleotide ribosomal RNA is filed under the name uncultured bacterium. Its description in RNAcentral is "partial 16S ribosomal RNA". The record is from RNAcentral.